ACAAAUCUACGCACUAAUAAAGACUGUUGAAGUUCCGUCUAGGGAAUCCAAUAUUCGUUAUGUCUGGCCAUAUACUCGUAUAAAAGACGCUCCCUUUAAUGGAAGGGCAUGGCCGAUUGCGAGGCAUAGCCAAUGCAAAAAUAUUGCCAACAUUCCGCAAAACAACGCAAACUGCCACUGCCGGCUAUUUAGUCUACUUCCCGCAGCCGAAGGGAAAAGUAAGUGGAAGUGGAAUUGAUGAGAACGGUGGUCCGGAGAGCUCAACGCCGCAUUCCAUCACAACUCCCUGAUGCGCGAGAAAUUAAACAAUUUAAUUAUAUUUAUAUGGAACAGUUAUGAUGCUUUCCCGCCGUGUUUCUCCUUUUUUCCCUGACAAAGCUAUUCCAGAUUAAAACCGCAGCCAACGCAAACAGUCAACAACAGCAAUAGCAGCGACAUGAAAUGUUAUGGUUAAUAACAGGAAAGAUUUCUUUGGAGACCGAAUAUUUUGAUAUUCCUGCAGAUCGUUGCCCCAGUAGCCAAUAACUAACCAACUGGACAAUGAAAACCAAUUGAAUUUUCUAAACUGCAGUGGGCACUGUCAGAAUCUAAAUGGCUCUACCCUUGAUAUGGCCACAGCAAAUCAAAAUUCAAAUAACGUGAAAUUAAAUAUAAUAAUUUUUCAGUACAGUUUGAAUCAAAAAGGAGGAGGUUA
Molecule: long non-coding RNA, 694 nt
Organism: Drosophila pseudoobscura
Lineage: Eukaryota; Metazoa; Arthropoda; Insecta; Diptera; Drosophilidae
Exons: 3
Source: RefSeq, a predicted model, not a curated record